GGUGAACGCUGGCGGUAUGCUUAACACAUGCAAGUCGUACGGAAGUUUUUUAACUUUAGUGGCGGACGGGUGAGUAACACGUGAGAAUUUGCCUUUAGGAGGGGGAUAACAAUUGGAAACAAAUGCUAAUACCCCAUAUGCUUUUGAGUGAAAUGGAUUUAUCCGCCUAGAGAGAAGCUCGCGGCUGAUUAGCUUGUUGGUAAGGUAAGAGCUUACCAAGGCGACGAUCAGUAUCUGGUUUGAGAGGACGAUCAGACACACUGGAACUGAGACACGGUCCAGACUCCUACGGGAGGCAGCAGUGGGGAAUUUCCGCAAUGGGCGAAAGCCUGACGGAGCAAUACCGCGUGAGGGAUGAAUGCCUAUGGGUUGUAAACCUCUUUUUUCAGGGAGGAACAAAUGACGUGUACCUGAAGAAUAAGCAUCGGCUAACUCCGUGCCAGCAGCCGCGGUAAAGUGACUACUG
Molecule: ribosomal RNA, 466 nt
Filed under: uncultured bacterium
Lineage: Bacteria
Description: bacterial SSU rRNA
Rfam family: Bacterial small subunit ribosomal RNA
Source: RNAcentral